UUUUCGAAAGCCUUUGUGCAAGUAGUGUCCAGCGUUCCUUCCUUCCUUGCCUGCCUGUCUGCCUGAUCUGAUCUCAUUUUGAUUCACUGAUUUUCCUGCUCUGCCUUGUCCACGUCAGAUACUUCAUUGACUUCUGCUUUGUGGACAAACAACCUUGCUUCUGCCUCCUGACCAACCUUCUCUGCCUAACCCUUGGUAUGCCUGAAUCUGCCUCCCCAUUCAUGACCUCACUUCUGUGCCCCGACCCACGAUUCAAGCCUCUCCUUGGGAUCCUGUCGCCUGAUUCUGUCCUCUCGGCUUUGACCCUGUUUCUGUCUCCUGACCAUUACUUUCUGCUCAGUCACUGGGUUUGCAAACCUGACAGCCAGUGUGAUGUUGCCCUGCUGCCUCCUGAUGAUCACACGGAAGAGCCGAAAUUCUGUUUCCUGAUCCUGUCAUGGAUUUUGGAAAGAGGUUCCUGUGCCUACUGCUGGUGGUUUCUUGCCGAACAUCUUCCAGAAAGAUCAAUAAAUCUUUAAAUCUUA
Long non-coding RNA from Girardinichthys multiradiatus, 524 nucleotides. RefSeq lists it as uncharacterized. The transcript has 2 exons. The record is from RefSeq and is a predicted model, not a curated record. NCBI's taxonomy places the organism in Eukaryota, Metazoa, Chordata, Actinopteri, Cyprinodontiformes, Goodeidae.